GCCGACGUGGUGUAACUCGGCAGCAUACGGCCCUGUCACGGCUGAGAUUCGGGUUCAAAUCCCGACGUCGGCG
This 73-nucleotide transfer RNA is filed under the name Haloarcula sp. Atlit-7R. RNAcentral describes it as "tRNA-Asp". It matches the Rfam family "tRNA". Rfam says of the family: Transfer RNA (tRNA) molecules are approximately 80 nucleotides in length. Their secondary structure includes four short double-helical elements and three loops (D, anti-codon, and T loops). Further hydrogen bonds mediate the characteristic L-shaped molecular structure. tRNAs have two regions of fundamental functional importance: the anti-codon, which is responsible for specific mRNA codon recognition, and the 3' end, to which the tRNAs corresponding amino acid is attached (by aminoacyl-tRNA synthetases). tRNAs cope with the degeneracy of the genetic code in two manners: having more than one tRNA (with a specific anti-codon) for a particular amino acid; and 'wobble' base-pairing, i.e. permitting non-standard base-pairing at the 3rd anti-codon position. Lineage: Archaea; Methanobacteriati; Methanobacteriota; Halobacteria; Halobacteriales; Haloarculaceae. The record is from RNAcentral.